GUGAGGCCAUCCCUGGGGGGCUUCUCCAAAACUCAAUCCAGGGCUUCCAUGUUUUAAGGUAUUUGUGCCGUCUCUCUAGUACUGACCAGUGUAUUUCUUCCAUUUCUCUUGCACAUUCUACCCGCCGUACCCAUUGCUCCCUUGAUGGCACACUGGGUCGACGCCAGUGCGUUGGCACGAGAGCAUUGGCUUCCCCAAGCAGAAUUUGUAGAAGUUGCUGUUUGUGUGGCUCCUUGAAGGAGCGAGGCCAGCCCAGUAGUACGUGAGAUGGGGUCAGACUGGCUCGCAGUGCGAGAAUUUCCGCUAUGUCAUCCAGUAUCUGCAACUCCACCAGAUGUGUUCCAU
This is a non-coding RNA of Pelobates cultripes (western spadefoot toad), 345 nucleotides long. Lineage: Eukaryota; Metazoa; Chordata; Amphibia; Anura; Pelobatidae. The record is from the annotation of a GenBank genome assembly.